AGCAGCGUGGCUCAGUGGAAAGAGCAUGGGCUUGGGAGUCAGAGGUCAUGGGUUCGAAUCCCAGCUCUGCCG
RNAcentral lists this transfer RNA (72 nucleotides) under Ornithorhynchus anatinus (platypus). It matches the Rfam family "tRNA". From Rfam's summary of the family: Transfer RNA (tRNA) molecules are approximately 80 nucleotides in length. Their secondary structure includes four short double-helical elements and three loops (D, anti-codon, and T loops). The record is from Rfam by way of RNAcentral. Lineage: Eukaryota; Metazoa; Chordata; Mammalia; Monotremata; Ornithorhynchidae.